GUGUUUUGAUGUCUGCCAAUAAAACAAGUUUUGUUCCUGUGCCCGACACUCCGCCUCCGAUUCCUUUUCUCCGGCGCUACACCAUCGAUAGUUAAUUUACUCCACGGUAAUGGGGUCGUUUGUAUACAAUGACAAACAAGCUUGUUGAAUGUGGCUUUCAACAACGCACUCGUCCCUCCGCCUUCCCCACUGACCUCUCCCGGAUAGCCUUUGUGAUAUCCCACCUGACGGGGAGAGCAGAGACUUGGGCCACAGCCGAAUGGAGCCGCGGUUCCGAUACCUGCUGCACCUGGACGUCCUUUGUGUGUGCAAUGACGCAGGUGUUUCAACACGUGUCCACGGAAUGUGAGGCCCUGAACACCAAGCCAUGAGGGACUAAGAGGAGGGAGUCACUGGCACACUCUCGUAAUCCCAUUCCUGAUCUCCCGUGUACUGACUCCUGCCUGCCCGCUGACCUGCCUCCUACGCCUGAUGUUUUUGUUACUGCUGCUCCUGUUGACUGCCUGCCUGAUCUCCGACACUGGACUGAAUACGUUUCCCGAACUGCCUCUACAUCUCCCGAGUUGUGCAUUUUGGGUCCAACCUCGUGUUCUGGCCGUGACAGUCACAUACUGUAUUUACUCAAAUUGUUAUUAAUGUAUUCAUAUAUCUGCAUUGUGAAAGGCCUGUGAACUUUUCCGUCCCUGGCAAGAUGCUGCCAUUACCAGCUGAUCAGCUGCCUGCAUGACCUCUCCUGUAAACGUUUGACACACUGCUGUUUGGUGUCAAGCUGGCCAGUUAACUGCUGGUGGCUAAGGCAAGCUACUUCCCACUAUCAUGGCACUCCUAACAUAUGCAAUAUUUUAAUUACUCCAAUAAGUUAUUGUUAAGUGUCCUUGGAUCUCUUGAAAGGUAAGAUAAAUGCGAUUGUCAUAUUCAGCAUCAUCAUCGUUAUUAUUAUUGCAGCUAAGCAUGUGUAAUACACUUCAAUAAGUCUCACAUUUACUAGGCGAAAGUAAAAGCUAGCCUUACACAAGGUAUAUAUAUGGGUGGAGGAAGGUUUAUUGAUGACAAGUUUAAAAAUUGCAAACAUCUUCUGUGUCUCUUAUCACUGUUUCAUUCUGUGUACAAUACAGUACUCUCAUUUCUGCCAUAAUGGCGAGAUACUGCGGUGUAACCAUAUCCAACAAUUUUAUCUUCUACUGGAGGGGCAUAACCUUCUUCUAGUGCUUAGGGCUGUUUUCCAGGGGUACUAGAAGGAACAUGGUACUUGAAUAACAUUUUAGUGUAUUACCGAAAGAAAAUAUGCACGUGGGCACAAAUCAGUGUUGUUUUUUUUUUUGUUUGUUUGUUUUUUAUUUUUUUGUUUGUCUUUUAGAAUGGGGAUUCACAAAUCUAUGAGGAAUUUAGAGUAUUUGUAUCCAGUACACUCUUAGAUUGCUUUCUUCCACCAUACAGGACUAAUGCACUAUUUGUGCUGAUGAAUUGUAAUUCAAGUUAAUUAAAAAAAUUUAAGGACUGGCAUUACUGUACAGUUGAUGUUUGUCCUCCUUUGUUGAUUUCUGCGGCAGGAUCUAAGAUUAAAUAUUCAAUGAUGGCUAAUAUGACUUGAAUUUUUGACUUUUGAA
Molecule: long non-coding RNA, 1607 nt
Organism: Syngnathoides biaculeatus (alligator pipefish)
Lineage: Eukaryota; Metazoa; Chordata; Actinopteri; Syngnathiformes; Syngnathidae
Exons: 3
Source: RefSeq, a predicted model, not a curated record